This 532-nucleotide unclassified non-coding RNA is filed under the name Hevea brasiliensis (rubber tree). Lineage: Eukaryota; Viridiplantae; Streptophyta; Magnoliopsida; Malpighiales; Euphorbiaceae. The record is from RNAcentral.
CUCAAUUCCGUUCAAAUUCUCCGGAGAUUCGAGCAUCGGCUUUUCCCUGGCUUUCCGGCAUCUCAUCAUAAUUCUCGAGAUUCAAUCAAUCCAUUCACGACAGAAUCAUGAAUCCUGAAUAUGAUUAUUUGUUCAAGCUUUUGCUAAUUGGAGAUUCAGGAGUCGGCAAAUCUUGUCUACUUCUGAGGUUUGCUGAUGAUUCAUAUCUGGAGAGCUACAUCAGUACCAUUGGAGUUGACUUUAAAAUCCGCACUGUGGAGCAGGAUGGGAAAACUAUUAAACUCCAAAUUUGGGACACAGCUGGGCAAGAACGUUUUAGGACAAUUACAAGUAGCUACUAUCGAGGAGCCCAUGGCAUUAUUGUUGUUUAUGAUGUUACAGACCAAGAAAGCUUCAAUAAUGUUAAACAAUGGUUGAGUGAAAUUGACCGCUAUGCAAGUGAAAACGUGAACAAGCUUCUUGUUGGUAACAAGAAUGACCUUACAGCGAACAAAGUUGUCUCAUAUGAGACUGCAAAGGCAUUUGCUGAUGA